Carassius carassius (crucian carp) is the source of this 499-nucleotide long non-coding RNA. RefSeq lists it as uncharacterized. The record is from RefSeq and is a predicted model, not a curated record. NCBI's taxonomy places the organism in Eukaryota, Metazoa, Chordata, Actinopteri, Cypriniformes, Cyprinidae. The transcript is spliced from 2 exons.
CCCCCUACUGGACCGCAGCGUUGUUUGCGAGAAGGGUCGCUUGUUGUUUGCUCGUGUUUGCCCCGCCCCAAGUACGUGAAGGCGGCAGAUGAUUGGACGCCUAAAAGUGACGAAGUCAGUUGCGUCAGUUCACAGGCGUGACACAGCUGGUAUAAAGUGACACGAGCGGCCAUGAUUCUUUCUCUGCGGCAACCCUCGGGAAGCAUGUGAGAUGGUUACGUGCUUUUUCGUCAAAGCAUCUGAAAAUUGGUCAAGUAAGAGUCCAUGACGUCCACAGAAGUGAACCUGCUUCUGAAGGCCCAACGCUGGAAUAGGUGUUUCAUUAAUUUGUAUCUGGUCCUUUGAUAUGUGAAAAUGUCGGAACCUCUUUAACCCUUUAUUUGUUUCAAGUCUGUAGCCACGCACCGACUAUUUUUUGCCAUCCUCUUUUGGUCCAGUUUACAGCACAUUUAAACGUGUUUCUGUAUUUUGAGCAUUUCUAAUAAACAAUACAUCUUUA